AACGAGGCCGACCUGCGGCUGAGUUACCUGCGGAGGGAUCAUUACACAACAAAAUAUGAAGGUCUGGCUUCGCGGCCGGCUGAAGUAUUUUUUUUCACCCAUGUCUUUUGCGCACUUGUUGUUUCCUGGGCGGGUUCGCCCGCCACCAGGACCAAACCAUAAACCUUUUUUUUAUGUAGUUGCAAUCAGCGUCAGUAAAAACAAUGUAAUUAUUACAACUUUCAGCAACGGAUCUCAGAU
This 240-nucleotide unclassified non-coding RNA is filed under the name soil metagenome. RNAcentral describes it as "partial contains 5.8S ribosomal RNA, internal transcribed spacer 2, and large subunit ribosomal RNA". The record is from RNAcentral.